This 243-nucleotide ribosomal RNA is filed under the name uncultured bacterium. RNAcentral's name for it is "partial 16S ribosomal RNA". It matches the Rfam family "Bacterial small subunit ribosomal RNA", at positions 1258 to 1500 of the family's 1533-position model. The record is from RNAcentral.
CGAAGGCAAGCGGAUCUCUUAAAGCUGUUCUCAGUUCGGACUGCAGUCUGCAACUCGACUGCACGAAGCUGGAAUCGCUAGUAAUCGCGGAUCAGCACGCCGCGGUGAAUACGUUCCCGGGCCUUGUACACACCGCCCGUCACACCAUGGGAGCCAGGAAUGCCCGAAGCCAGUGGCCUAACCGCAAGGGAGGAGCUGUCGAAGGCAGGCCCGGUAACUGGGGUGAAGUCGUAACAAGGUACC